Molecule: ribosomal RNA, 497 nt
Filed under: uncultured bacterium
Lineage: Bacteria
Description: partial 16S ribosomal RNA
Rfam family: Bacterial small subunit ribosomal RNA
Source: RNAcentral
GAUGAACGCUGGCGGCGUGCCUAAUACAUGCAAGUCGAGCGAACAGAUAAGGAGCUUGCUCCUUUGACGUUAGCGGCGGACGGGUGAGUAACACGUGGGUAACCUACCUAUAAGACUGGGAUAACUUCGGGAAACCGGAGCUAAUACCGGAUAACAUUUGGAACCGCAUGGUUCUAAAGUGAAAGAUGGUUUUGCUAUCACUUAUAGAUGGACCCGCGCCGUAUUAGCUAGUUGGUAAGGUAACGGCUUACCAAGGCGACGAUACGUAGCCGACCUGAGAGGGUGAUCGGCCACACUGGAACUGAGACACGGUCAAGACUCCUACGGGAGGCAGCAGUAGGGAAUCUUCCGCAAUGGGCGAAAGCCUGACGGAGCAACGCCGCGUGAGUGAUGAAGGGUUUCGGCUCGUAAAACUCUGUUAUUAGGGAAGAACAAAUGUGUAAGUAACUGUGCACGUCUUGACGGUACCUAAUCAGAAAGCCACGGCUAACUACGUG